GGUCAAGCGGUGGAGGAAUUCAGAAACCAAAUAAGAAAAAUGAUUCUCCAAAUGAGGUGAAAUUUUAAUAAAAAGAUUUCAUGUAAAUGUCCAGGAAGGAAGAAAGUCAUAUGCCCAAACAAAAGUUCAUUCACCUCACCAGAGGAAUUAAAAUGAGUUUUAUUUUAACUACAUUUCUGCAAGAAUAUGCUUUAUUUUAACUACUUUGCUUCUCAUCAUGAUGUUAUA
RNAcentral lists this long non-coding RNA (228 nucleotides) under Trifolium pratense (red clover). RNAcentral's name for it is "long non-coding RNA (TPRA_LNC006800)". The record is from RNAcentral. Lineage: Eukaryota; Viridiplantae; Streptophyta; Magnoliopsida; Fabales; Fabaceae.